UUGAACGCUGGCGGAAUGCUUUACCCCUGCCAGUCGAACGGCAGCACGGGGGCAACCCUGGUGGCGAGUGGCGAACGGGUGAGUAAUACAUCGGAACGUGCCCGGUCGUGGGGGAUAACGUAGCGAAAGUUACGCUAAUACCGCAUACGAUCUGAGGAUGAAAGCGGGGGACCUUCGGGCCUCGCGCGAUCGGAGCGGCCGAUGUCAGAUUAGGUAGUUGGUGGGGUAAAGGCCUACCAAGCCGACGAUCUGUAGCUGGUCUGAGAGGACGACCAGCCACACUGGGACUGAGACACGGCCCAGACUCCUACGGGAGGCAGCAGUGGGGAAUUUUGGACAAUGGGCGCAAGCCUGAUCCAGCCAUUCCGCGUGCAGGACGAAGGCCUUCGGGUUGUAAACUGCUUUUGUAUGGAACGAAAAGGCUCUGGCUAAUACCUGGGGCUCAUGACGGUACCGUAAGAAUAAGCACCGGCUAACUACGUG
RNAcentral lists this ribosomal RNA (483 nucleotides) under uncultured bacterium. RNAcentral's name for it is "partial 16S ribosomal RNA". It matches the Rfam family "Bacterial small subunit ribosomal RNA", at positions 30 to 507 of the family's 1533-position model. The record is from RNAcentral.